Molecule: long non-coding RNA, 1541 nt
Organism: Vitis riparia (riverbank grape)
Lineage: Eukaryota; Viridiplantae; Streptophyta; Magnoliopsida; Vitales; Vitaceae
Exons: 2
Source: RefSeq, a predicted model, not a curated record
UGACUUCUUGUCAUCAAGUUCUGCCUGCGCUGUUCUCUGUCUCUUAAAAGUUCUUUGAUAUGCAUAUUCCAAAUGAUAAUAUGUUAUAUUAUCAUAUGAAAAUAUUAAUGUGACAUAUAAUUUAAAUCAUUGAUUAAUAUAACAUAUUAUUUAAAUCAUUGAUUAAUACUAGCCCAGAUAGUACCAUGAGGGCAACGUCCUAAGCCUUAAUGCUUAUAGGACCCAAGUUCGAAUCCUGGGAAGGCCACUCUGGUUCUGGCCCAUUCCGACUGUGAUGCCUCCGUCUGGCACAGUUCAAUGGUACGACUGGCCAGAGCCAAAAAUAAAAACAAAUGACGUCCCAACAAUAAUGAUAAAAGAUACCAUUGGAAUUCCAAUAUUGGUUUUCUUCUUUUUUAUAUAUAUUAUUAAAGGUGUUUCAUGUUUGAAGGUUACAACUUUUAAGAAAAAGGGUUUUAAGAUUUAAAUAUUUUCAUAUAUAAAUAAAUUAAAUCUCUCCCGCCUUUAAAUAAUAAUCCAUCUCAAAAGACCAUCACAUUAAAUUUAAUACUAUACAAUGAAGAUUAUGGUGGAAAAUGAACUCUACUAUUCUAGCGAUUUCAAAGUUUUAAUCCAAAUUUAAAUUUAUUAAAUUGGUAAAAUUGUUUAAACAAUCAUUUUUAUUAUUUAAUACUACCAUAAUUUCCUGAAAUCAGCAUCACAUGAAUAGUGUAAUUCAGAAUGAAAAAUCACUCUUUUAGUAAGCAAUCCUUUUUAUUAUUUUAUAGCAUAAUCAUAAGGAUAUAGUUUGUUGACUACGCUACAUAUUCAUGAAAAUAAAUAUCAUAGAGUAAUAUGAUAUGAUAAGAUAAGAGCAUCUUAGUAUAUUCCACUACUAUAUUAUCCAUUGGUGGGCAUGGAAUGCUGUUCUCCUUUUGGAAGCAAUGGAAUAUUAUUGGGAGACUUGAGAAUCUCCUCUCCCUCUCUCUCUCUCUUUCUCUCUCUCUCUCUCCCUUUAUGUGAAGAAUAAAGAGUGUAGGCAUGCUGUUGUUGCAGGCUCAUCAGGUAAGUGAUUUGCACCUCUCUCUCUCUCUCUCUCUCUCUCUCUCAGUUGCUGCCUCUCUUUCUCUCUCUCCCUGUGAAGAAUGAAUAGUCUAGUGCAGGCUUAUCUAUUAUGGACUGAGCUUAUUUGACGGAAGCUCCAACUCUAACUGGUUUUAUACGUCUCAAAGCUCUUCUUCCAUGCUCCAGUGCCAACAUGAAGAGACCAAACAGGUACAUUAUGCAAAGAUGAAGCUUUUCUAGAAUUGAAAACAAGAAACAUGGACUGCUUUCUCCAUCGGCAUCGGUUCUUCUACGUGACAUCCAGGUGACUAGGCACCCUGAAUUAGAACAGCAUGUGUCAGCAGAGGAUAUUUGAUUCCUUUGAAAUGAUCUCAAAAAAAAAUACAGAAUUUGAUAUGAGGUAUAAAGGUAUCGGUAUUCCUUAACUGUUAAAUCCUAGUCCAUAGAAAUGCACAAACAUACAAGAAAGAGGAAAAGAUCCUCAGUAAUCCUUACCA